AGAGCGAACGCUGGCGGCAGGCCUAACACAUGCAAGUCGAGCGCCCCGCAAGGGGAGCGGCAGACGGGAGAGUAACACGUGGGAACGUACCCUUUGGUUCGGAACAACACAGGGAAACUUGUGCUAAUACCGGAUAAGCCCUUACGGGGAAAGAUUUAUUGCCAAAGGAUCGGCCCGCGUCUGAUUAGCUUGUUGGUGAGGUAACGGCUCACCAAGGCUACGAUCAGUAGCUGGUCCGAGAGGAUGAUCAGCCUCACUGGGACUGAGACACGGCCCAGACUCCUACGGGAGGCAGCAGUGGGGAAUAUUGGACAAUGGGCGCAAGCCUGAUCCAGCCAUGCCGCGUGGAUGAUGAAGGCCCUAGGGUUGUAAAGUCCUUUCGACGGGGAAGAUAAUGACGGUACCCGUAGAAGAAGCCCCGGCUAACUUCGUGCCAGCAGCCGC
This 444-nucleotide ribosomal RNA is filed under the name uncultured bacterium. Its description in RNAcentral is "SSU rRNA". It matches the Rfam family "Bacterial small subunit ribosomal RNA", at positions 26 to 518 of the family's 1533-position model. The record is from RNAcentral.